Molecule: small nuclear RNA, 107 nt
Organism: Vulpes vulpes (red fox)
Lineage: Eukaryota; Metazoa; Chordata; Mammalia; Carnivora; Canidae
Source: Ensembl
AUGUUUACUUCAGCAGCACAUAUACUAAAAUUGGAGCAAUACAGAGAAGAUCAGGAUGGCCCCUGCACAAGGAUCAUGCCCAAAUUUGUGAAGUAUUCAAGUAUUUU